AUAAAACUGUUGGACUACAAUAAUGAUAUUACAGGAGGAACAGCAUCCAAAUGUGAUGCAUAAACUAAUAUUUUCUUGAGAAGAAAAUCUAAACUAAAAUCAUCCAUCAACAUCCCUACAACUUAACUAAAACUAAUCCCACAACUUGCGGAUUAUUUUCUUGAAAGCAUCCAUCAUCAUCAUCAUCAUCAUCAUCAUUGCAGUGUACUUGUUACGCACCCAUAUAAUCAUCCAUAUAUCUUUUCAAUCUACAAAGAAAAUAACAAAAUGAAUUGUUAACACAUAGUGCAUUGACAUGAUGCAAGUAGUGAUAAAGGCAAGAUAUUAGACACAUACAAAGGUUGAAGGCCAGGCAAUAUAUAUUUUUUCUGCAUUAACAAAUACCAAUAGUAUUGCAGUUUUUGCGACUCUGUACCAAAUCUGCAGUUUUCGCAAGUGUUGUAUUGCGCUGUCCAAAAUGCAUUUUAAUUUCAGCACCAUCAAGUUUAAACUUAGGAGCAUAACUUAGAACUGUAGCAAGAAUUACGUCCCUGUUAUGAUUCUGAAAAUGUACCGGCAUGAGUAUUAGCGAUCAUUGAUGACUAAUCCAGACACCACAAUAUACGACAUAGCCUGCAGAACAACAUGGCUCAAUAACAUUAUAUGGACAGUAGCCUAUGGGCUGUUGUGCAUUCAAUGGCGCUGUGAGUUACAGCACUACUUCUCUUCUCUUCUCCAUUAAUUAGCAAACUGAACCAAAACAGUUUGUCAUCUCAAACUGAACCAAAACAUUUAGCUCUAGUUGGUUUCAGUCAUCCAACAGGAAAUAGACAAACCUACAGGUGCUCACCGUGCUUUGGAACGAUCGUACAGCCCCAAAUCCACUAAAACGGAUUUACUCAUCACCAGCCUAGAGAUCCAUUGCUAAUUUUGUAAACCUACAGUCAAACAGUUUUGUGUGAACCGACAGAUUUAUUUGCUAAAUAUAUCUACUGAAGCCUACAGCCCCAAAUCCUAUAAAUUUGCAUUGACAGCAGCAUAGAACCUAGCAUGGCUCAAUGGUCAUGGACACAACGAGCAGUAGUACAGUAGGGAGAGGGAGAGUGUAUACCUUCCAUGGUGUCUCCCUACAUCAAGUUGGUGCAUGCAGCUGCAAAGCCAAGGGGAAAAGGUUACAGGUUUCUCAUGCAUCUCUAGAACGGCGCAACACAAGUAAAGCUUCAUCAAGUUCCAUUCCUACUUAAUAAAAGAAGAGAAUAUAUAUUCGUCCCAUCUUGGCAACUUUACAUCUUACUCAAUAAAUGUAUCCCUGAGUUAGUUAGACUAGUCAUCAACCAGUGUGUUUGCACGACAAUUUUAGUUUGCCAUGUAUAACUAGAACAUUUUUAUGAAAGAAAAAAAAUAAAACCAUAAAUUUUCAAAGAAGCAUACUUUUAACUAAUUGAGAAAUAUUACAUGUGAUACUCUGUUGGCUUCAAUGUGGCUGACAUAAAUUAAUUUUAAUGAAGCAUUUAUACAUACUGUUUAUCAUUCCUAUAAAUAAACUUUCCCAAUUAUAAUUUAUAUUUAAAAGUCUGGGAUCUGGGGUUAGUAAAUAUAUAGAGGAUAUUACUGAAUAUUGUGAUUUCCUUUAAUUACAUAGCAGUAGCCUAAAUCUUGUGCGCUCCUAAAAUUAGCUAUCUAGGAACCCCAAAUGGAUCCCAUGCUUUAGUGAGUUCGCGUACAAAAAGGAAACCACACUUUCUAGUUAGCAAAAAAGAAAAACUAAAGCUAAUGUACAGGAAUAUCUGUCUUAUAUAAUGUUUUCUGAAAUGAACACAUACAUCACUCAAAUCUUCUACAUAAGAAACACAUCCAAUGAUUAUGUUACGGUUGGCUGGAGGCAGCAGUGCAACGCUACUGUUUGGAACUUUGAUUAUGUGGUGCUGCUGGAGGCGACCAGAGCUGCAGACCACCCCAACUGGAUGCUUUCACUCCCUACAACACAAUCGAGUCAAGAGGAGUACUCAUCAAGACAUGUGUACAAAACAGAUUUUUUUCUUAAUAAAACAAUAGUGAUAAAGUCGAUUGUAUAGUUCUUUCGUCUUUAUGAGCUUAAAGCAUGGAGAAUAGAACACAAAUCGCCACACCGCCAUUUCCUUCACUUGAAAGCCUCGCCGCAAAAGACGCCCGCGGGUGCCUAGUCUGCUUCAAACUGCCGUUGCUACACCUCCGC
This 2194-nucleotide long non-coding RNA is filed under the name Triticum aestivum (bread wheat). RNAcentral's name for it is "long non-coding RNA (TAES_LNC021932)". The record is from RNAcentral. Lineage: Eukaryota; Viridiplantae; Streptophyta; Magnoliopsida; Poales; Poaceae.